CCGGUUCCGUUCGUUUCACCUGACCGGUCGUUUGUGAUUGUGGUGUGUGUGUGUGUGUGUGUGUGUGUGUGUCUAUGCGAUUGUGUGCGCGCCGCCGGUUAUCGUAUACCUCUACCUGUAUGAUUUUUGUUAAUAAUUAUUAUUUUUCACACGGACGAUAAUUAUCGGGGAAAAAAAAAAAUUAAUAAUAGCAAAUAAAACCCAAUAAUAAUUACAUAUAUAUAUUUUAAUUAAUCGUAUUACUCACACGUUCGCGAGUGCGACAGUUCCGGGGUGGUGCGGCGAUUAUUUGGUUUCGGCGUGAUAACGCUUAUCAAUAAUCCAGUCGCGGUUAUCAGUCGUUUAUUUCGCGGAGACGACCCGACGACGACCGGCGGUUACACUCAUCAGGAAGUUUUCCUUGGACGAUGUUUGUUGACGUUUCCCGUUUGACCGAAGCGACGCCAUGGAUAAUAUGAACCAGGUGACCGACCAAGAACGAUGCCGUCGCUGCCGAAGAUUAUCAUCACAGUAGAAACGAACCGAACACAUUAUUGUAAUGUCAUCGAAACGCAAAUCGCCGCCGUCCAAGUUGCUUGAGAACGCCAGUGGCGAAACGGGUAAGACGACGGAUUUCUACCCGGACGUCUAUUGCGGCGGCAUGGACGCAGCUGUGGACAGAAACUGUGGCAGU
Long non-coding RNA from Adelges cooleyi (spruce gall adelgid), 673 nucleotides. RefSeq lists it as uncharacterized. Lineage: Eukaryota; Metazoa; Arthropoda; Insecta; Hemiptera; Adelgidae. The record is from RefSeq and is a predicted model, not a curated record. The transcript is spliced from 4 exons.